Molecule: ribosomal RNA, 253 nt
Filed under: uncultured bacterium
Lineage: Bacteria
Description: partial 16S ribosomal RNA
Rfam family: Bacterial small subunit ribosomal RNA
Source: RNAcentral
AACGUAGGUACCGAGCGUUAUCCGGAUUUACUGGGCGUAAAGCGCGUUCAGGCGGCUCAGCAAGUCGGGCAUGAAAUCUCUCGGCUCAACCGGGAGGGGCUGUCCGAUACUGCUGGACUUGAGGGCAGUAGAGGGUGGUGGAAUUCCGGGUGUAGUGGUGAAAUGCGUAGAUAUCCGGAGGAACACCAGUGGCGAAAGCGGCCACCUGGACUGUACCUGACGCUGACACGCGAAAGCUAGGGGAGCGAACGGG